Molecule: ribosomal RNA, 513 nt
Filed under: uncultured bacterium
Lineage: Bacteria
Description: partial 16S ribosomal RNA
Rfam family: Bacterial small subunit ribosomal RNA
Source: RNAcentral
GACGAACGCUGGCGGCGUGCUUAACACAUGCAAGUCGAACGAAAAGAGGGAAAGAGCUUGCUCUUUCCGGAAUUGAGUGGCAAACGGGUGAGUAACACGUAAACAACCUGCCUUCAGGAUGGGGACAACAGACGGAAACGACUGCUAAUACCGAAUAAGUUCCAAGGGCCGCAUGGCCCAUGGAAGAAAAGGUGGCCUCUACCUGUAAGCUAUCGCCUGAAGAGGGGUUUGCGUCUGAUUAGCUGGUUGGAGGGGUAACGGCCCACCAAGGCGACGAUCAGUAGCCGGUCUGAGAGGAUGAACGGCCACACUGGAACUGAGACACGGUCCAGACUCCUACGGGAGGCAGCAGUGGGGAAUCUUCCGCAAUAGGCGAAAGCCUGACGGAGCAACGCCGCGUGAGUGAUGACGGCCUUCGGGUUGUAAAACUCUGUGAUCCGGGACGAAAAGGCAGAGUGCGAAGAACAAACUGCAUUGACGGUACCGGAAAAGCAAGCCACGGCUAACUACGUG